UAGGUGGAGGCUAUUUUGAUGAUAGUGCCACGUUUUGGUACAUAAACCUGUCCUAUCGGGAUGGCUGUAAGAAGAAACUGAAACUACAGCUAAUCAAACAUUUCUGAAAAAACACCACCAAUCUGAACAUCAGAUUACUGAGGUCAUGGCUUCUGGAGUGACACAUUCCACUGUUGUUUUUUUGUGGGUGUAAACAUGAGGCAAAAGGAGUGGGAAUCUGUCCAAACCAACCAGGUGACACAUGCCCAGUGCUGGAU
This 257-nucleotide long non-coding RNA is filed under the name Calidris pugnax (ruff). RNAcentral describes it as "lncRNA (ENSCPUG00000016538.1)". Lineage: Eukaryota; Metazoa; Chordata; Aves; Charadriiformes; Scolopacidae. The record is from RNAcentral.